AUGGCGCCUACGGCAACGACGACGACGACGGCGGCGGAGCAGCAGCAGCACCCGAGGAAGGCGGUGGGGCUCGCGGCGCACGACGCAUCCGGCCACCUCUCGCCCAUCCGCAUCCCCCGAAGGAGCACUGGUGACGACGACGUGGCCAUAAAGGUGCUCUACUGCGGCAUCUGCCACUCCGACCUGCACACCAUCAAGAACGACUGGAGGAACGCCAUCUACCCCGUCGUCCCCGGGCACGAGAUUGCCGGGGUGGUGACGGAGGUCGGCAAGAACGUGGCGGGGUUCGCGGCCGGCGACAGGGUGGGCGUGGGCUGCAUGGUGAACACCUGCCGGGCCUGCGAGAGCUGCGAGGAGGGCGCCGAGAACUACUGCGCCAGGGUCGUCCUCACCUACAACUCCCGCGACAGGGACGGCGCCGUCACCCGCGGCGGCUACUCCGACCUGGUCGUCGCCGACGCGCGCUUCGUCGUCCGCUUCCCCGACGCCCUGCCGCUCGACGUCGCCGCGCCGCUGCUCUGCGCGGGCGCCACCGUGUACGCCCCCAUGCGGCGCCACGGGCUGGGCGCGCCCGGCAGCCACGUGGGCGUGAUCGGCCUCGGCGGGCUCGGGCACGUCGCCGUCAAGUUCGCCAGGGCGUUCGGGGCGGCGAAGGUGACGGUGAUCAGCACGUCGCCCGGGAAGCGGGAGGAGGCGCUGGAGCGGCUGGGCGCGGACGCGUUCGUCCUCAGCACCGACGCGGCGGAGAUGAAGGCCGCCGCGGGCACCAUGCACGGCAUCGUCAACACGGCGUCCGCCGCCGCGUCCCUGCACCCGUACCUGGCGCUCCUCAAACCCCACGGCAAGAUGAUCCUGCUCGGCAUCCCCGAUAAGCCCCUGCAAGUCUCCGCAUUCGCUCUCAUCGGCGGCGGCAAGACUCUUGCCGGGAGCUGCAUGGCGAGCAUCAGCGAGACGCAGGAGAUGCUAGACUUCGCCGCCGAGCAUGGCGUGGCGGCGGACGUCGAGGUGAUCGGCGCCGGGGAGGUGAACGCGGCCAUGGAGCGCCUGGCCAAGGGCGACGUCAGGUACCGCUUCGUCAUCGACGUCGGCAACACCCUCAAGGCGGAUUGA
Molecule: ribosomal RNA, 1110 nt
Filed under: Triticum aestivum (bread wheat)
Lineage: Eukaryota; Viridiplantae; Streptophyta; Magnoliopsida; Poales; Poaceae
Description: partial small subunit ribosomal RNA
Source: RNAcentral